RNAcentral lists this ribosomal RNA (810 nucleotides) under uncultured bacterium. Its description in RNAcentral is "bacterial SSU rRNA". It matches the Rfam family "Bacterial small subunit ribosomal RNA", at positions 8 to 796 of the family's 1533-position model. The record is from RNAcentral.
AGAGUUUGAUCAUGGCUCAGAACGAACGCUGGCGGCGUGGAUAAGACAUGCAAGUCGAACGAGAUUUUUUCCUGUAGCAAUACAGGGAAAAGUCUAGUGGCGAACGGGUGCGUAACACGUGGGCAAUCUGCCUUAAAGUGGGGGAUAGCUCGGCGAAAGCCGAAUUAAUACCGCAUGUGAUCAGAGGGGACAUCCCUUCGAAAUCAAAGUCGGGGCAACCUGACGCUUUUUGAGGAGCCCGCGGCCUAUCAGCUAGUUGGUGAGGUAAUGGCUCACCAAGGCUCUGACGGGUAGCUGGUCUGAGAGGACGACCAGUCACACUGGAACUGAGACACGGUCCAGACACCUACGGGUGGCAGCAGUCGAGAAUUUUUCUCAAUGGGGGAAACCCUGAAGGAGCGACGCCGCGUGGAGGAUGAAGGUCUUCGGGUUGUAAACUCCUGUCAUUUGGGAACAAGUUGGACGCCGUAACUGCGCGUCCAUUGAUAGUACCAGAAGAGGAAGGGACGGCUAACUCUGUGCCAGCAGCCGCGGUAAUACAGAGGUCUCAAGCGUUGUUCGGAUUCAUUGGGCGUAAAGGGUGUGUAGGUGGCGCGCUAAGUCGGGUGUGAAAUUUCGGAGCUUAACUCCGAAACUGCAUUCGAUACUGGCGUGCUUGAGGACUGGAGAGGAGACUGGAAUUCAUGGUGUAGCAGUGAAAUGCGUAGAGAUCAUGAGGAAGACCAGUGGCGAAGGCGGGUCUCUGGACAGUUCCUGACACUGAGACACGAAGGCCAGGGGAGCAAACGGGAUUAGAUACCCUAGUAGUCC